GGGGAUGUAGCUCAGUUGGUAGAGUGCUUGGUGCAUGUCUCGCAUGCCCAAAGCCCUGGGUUCAAUCCCCAGCAACACACA
This 81-nucleotide transfer RNA is filed under the name Marmota monax (woodchuck). Its description in RNAcentral is "tRNA.Met". The record is from RNAcentral. Lineage: Eukaryota; Metazoa; Chordata; Mammalia; Rodentia; Sciuridae.